CUGCCCAAUGAUAUAUAUUAAAUGGCCGCGAUAUUUUGAUCGUGCGAAGGUAGCAUAAUCAUUAGUUUUUUAAUUGAAAGCUGGUAUGAAAGAUUGGACGAGAUACAUUCUGUCUCAGAAAUAAAAGUUGAAUUUUAUUUUUAAGUUAAAAAGCUUAACUUACUUUGAAAGACGAGAAGACCCUAUAGAGUUUAAUAUUAUAUUAUUAUAAAUUAUUGUUGAAUUAAGAAUUUUUAUAAUUUAGGAGUAUUUAAUUGGGGUGAUUGAAAAAUUUGAUAAACUUUUUCUUUAAAAUAAUAUAAAUUUAUAGGUUAUUGACUUAAUUUAUUAGUUACAAGAUUAAAUUACCUUAGGGAUAACAGCGUAAUUUUUCUAAAGAGUUCAUAUCGAAAGAAAAGAUUGCGACCUCGAUGUUGGAUUAAAGUUAAAAUUUGGUGUAGAAGCUAAGUGUUUUAGUCUGUUCGACUAUUAAAACUUUACAUGAUCUGAGUUUAGACCGGCGUGAGCCAGGUUAGUUUCUAUCUUCAAUAUUUAAAAAUAUUUUAGUACGAAAGGACCAAAUAUUAAUUAAAUUAGUUAAUUUUUGAUUAACAGU
This 595-nucleotide ribosomal RNA is filed under the name Agrilus vittaticollis. RNAcentral describes it as "partial 16S ribosomal RNA". It matches the Rfam family "Bacterial large subunit ribosomal RNA", at positions 1859 to 2771 of the family's 2925-position model. The record is from RNAcentral. Lineage: Eukaryota; Metazoa; Arthropoda; Insecta; Coleoptera; Buprestidae.